Molecule: ribosomal RNA, 1243 nt
Filed under: metagenome
Description: bacterial LSU rRNA
Rfam family: Bacterial large subunit ribosomal RNA
Source: RNAcentral
UGAGUACGAGAUGCUACGGCAUCGAAGCAGUCUAUGUCAUACUUCCAAGAAAAGCUUGCAAUGUCAUAAACAAAUAAUGCCUGUACCAUAACCGACACAGGUGGGUAGGUAGAGUAUACUAAGGGGCGCGAGAUAACUCUCUCUAAGGAACUCGGCAAAAUGACUCCGUAACUUCGGGAGAAGGAGUGCCUUAUUUUUAUAAGGUUGCAAUAACAAGAUCCAAGCAACUGUUUACCAAAAACACAGGUCUCCGCUAAGUCGUAAGACGAUGUAUGGGGGCUGACGCCUGCCCAGUGCCAGAAGGUUAAAGAAGUUGGUUAGCAUUAGCGAAGCUGAUAACUGAAGCCCUGGUGAACGGCGGCCGUAACAAUAACGGUCCUAAGGUAGCGAAAUUCCUUGUCGGGUAAGUUCCGACCCGCACGAAAGGCGUAAUGAUUUGGAUACUGUCUCGGAGAGGGGCUCGGUGAAAUAGACUUGUCUGUGAAGAUGCGGACUACCUGCACCUGGACAGAAAGACCCUAUGAAGCUUUACUGUAACUUGAGAUUGAAAUUGGACUUUAUCUGCGCAGUAUAGGUGGGAGACGUUGAAAAUAUUCUUGCGGGAAUAUUGGAGUCAUCAGUGAGAUACCACUCUUAUAAUGUUAGAUUUCUAACUUUGUAUCAUUAUCUGGUCAAAGAACAGUUUCAGGCGGGCAGUUUGACUGGGGCGGUCGCCUCCCAAACGGUAACGGAGGCGCACAAAGGUUUCCUCUGAACGUGUAGAAAUCGUAUCUAGAGUGUAAAGGCAUAAGGAAGCUUGACUGUGAGACCUACAAGUCGAGCAGGGACGAAAGUCGGUCUUAGUGAUCUGACGGUGCUGAGUGGAAAGGCCGUCACUCAACGGAUAAAAGUUACUCUAGGAUAACAGGCUGACCUCCCCCAAGAGUUCACAUCGACGGGGAGGUUUGGCACCUCGAUGUCGGCUCAUCGCAUCCUGGGGCGGUAGUACGUCCCAAGGGUUGGGCUGUUCGCCCAUGAAAGCGGUACGCGAGCUGGGUUCAGAACGUCGUGAGACAGUUCGGUCCAUAUCCGGUGUAGGCGUUAGAAUAUUGAGAGGAGCCUUCUUUAGUACGAGAGGACCGAGAAGGACAUACCUCUGGUGUACCAGUUAUCGUGCCAACGGUAAACGCUGGGUAGCCAUGUAUGGAGAGGAUAACCGCUGAAAGCAUCUAAGUGGGAAGCCCACCUCAAGAUAAGUAUUCUC